UACGAAGGGUGCAAACGUUGCUCGGAAUUAUUGGGCGUAAAGCGCACGUAGGCGGCAUUGCAAGUCGGAUGUGAAAUCUUAUGGCUUAACCAUAAAAGUGCAUCCGAAACUGCAGUGCUUGAGUACUUAAGAGGAUCGCGGAAUUCCUGGUGUAGCGGUGGAAUGCGCAGAUAUCAGGAGGAACACCAACGGCGAAGGCAGCUCGCUGGGACGGUACUGACGCUAAGGCGCGAAAGCGUGGGGAGCGAACAGG
Molecule: ribosomal RNA, 253 nt
Filed under: uncultured bacterium
Lineage: Bacteria
Description: partial 16S ribosomal RNA
Rfam family: Bacterial small subunit ribosomal RNA
Source: RNAcentral